This 150-nucleotide unclassified non-coding RNA is filed under the name uncultured fungus. RNAcentral describes it as "sequence contains ITS1". The record is from RNAcentral. Lineage: Eukaryota; Fungi.
UUCAUUAAUUAAAUAAUUAGUCAAGACAAUGCCAUGUUCAAGUCCUAAUUUUACCUAGGACGAGUUCAGUCAACUACUCGGGAGUCAUAACAACCCCAAGUUAAUUUUAAAAAUCCAAAAAUGAUCCUUCCGCAGGUUCACCUACGGAAA